AGGUGGCUCAGUGGUUAAGAGCACUGGCUACUCCUCCAGAGGACCCAGGUUCAAGUCCCGGCACCUA
Molecule: transfer RNA, 67 nt
Filed under: Neotoma lepida (desert woodrat)
Lineage: Eukaryota; Metazoa; Chordata; Mammalia; Rodentia; Cricetidae
Source: Rfam by way of RNAcentral